UGGUUUAACGGAAUCAUUUUAUUUUAUUCUGUUAGUUUUAACGGAGAGUUAACAUCCGUUAAUUAAUUUUAUAAUCAUAAAUACACACUAUUCAUCUUCCUCUCGAAUUUCUCUCUCAAACCCAAACCUAUAUUCUGCGAUUGGCCUUAUUAAAAUUCUACAAAGACAAUUGCUUCCAAUUGUCGUCAUUCUUCAACCUCAAAUCCAAACCCAUAUUGCUAUCGACAUGUAUUUGCGCCUCACCUAUUUUCUUUGAUCUUCUCGUUGUUUCACAACAUUUACGCUGUGAAUCGUCACCUCUUCUCCGCGAUUACAAACUUUUCUUCGAUUUAGAUGGUGAUGGCCACAUUACUGGCAAUGAUGCUUUGAAGUUCUUUGCUUUGUCAAAUUUGUCUCGGCAAGAUCUCAAGCAGGUUUUUAUUUUCUUUUUCGUAUUUUUUUUUGGGGUUGUUCAUGUUCUAAGGUUGUGACAUUUAAUAUGAAUUUAGUUAUUCUUAGUUAUUAUUUUUUUUGAAAAGGUUAUCAUUUUUAUUGUUCAGUUAAGCCUUUUAGCCGAAUUAAUAUAAUAAAUUAAAUAAUGAUUACAGUGCUUUCGAAAUGGUUGUUUCUUUUUAUUUAAACUUACAAUAGAAUGAAUGUUGAUACCAUGGUGUUAUUAAUUGAAAAAUAGCAAAUUUCAUAUUCUAUUGUUAUUUGUACUAUUGGGUUGAGAUAAUUCUUUCUACUCAAUAAUGGAAAAAUAGCUUGAUUUGUUAAUGUAGUCUCUAUUGGGUGUUUUACAAUUAUGUGGUUACAUUAUUGUUUUAUUUUGUGUUUGUGGAGUAUUUUCUUUCAAAAAAUGAAUUCAUGAAUGUAUUUCCUUGAAAUGACAUCCCUGAUUAUUUAUAGCUGGUUUCUUUGGUGCAAACUGGACUUGAAAUAACACAUAAUUUAUUGAAUAGCAACGGUAAGUUUUUCUAAAGGUGGUUUGUUGUCACUGUGUUUGUUGCUCCCUCUUCUGAUUAAAGUUGAGGAUACUUGCUGGCAAAAUUGAACCAAUAAUUACAAUUGCCACCACUGAGUAAAUCUGUCAAACCAUUUGAUUUACUUUUAAUUUUGUUUUGGAUUAAUUAUCUUUAAGAUAGUUAAGAGAUUGGAGUGAUGAUUCCAUAAUAUUCAAGCUCAACAGACCGGAAUGCAGGCUCCUCUUACUGGUUUAUAUUAGAGACAAAUGACACAUAGUUUUGAAAUUAUCUUGAAUGUAUUCUGUUUUUUAAGUUUUAAUUAUUGUUUUAUUUUUCUUAAAUAUUUUCAUUUUAAUUUUGUCUUGCAAGCACGGUCUAAGCUUCGGCAUAACAGUGCUGCAGUGCAAGUGCCUAUUAGAUUGGUAGAAGAUUUCAAGGGCCUUAUAGACCUUGUGCAGUUAAAAACUUACUACUUUCAUGGUACUAACGGGUAUGUUUUUGGAAGUUGAUAACUUGCAGAGCUAUUUCUUAAUAAGGAGCCUAUAUCUUCUACUGAUCUUGAGGAAGCAAUUCGCAUGGCAACCAUAACAUAGAAAUCCUUACCAAUAUUUAUGGGAAGUGCAUCCAAAACCAAGGUUGUGUUGAUUAAUUGCGGCCUUUCAUCCUUAUGGGUUUGAAAUAUAAUCAUCUUCCCUGCUUUGAUCUCUCCUUUUGUUCGCCAGUUGAAUUUCUUUCUGUCUCCAUUAUUUUACGUGAUUGAGAAAAUGUGUCAUGUCUUUUCUGUGUAAAAUGAUUAUUUCAAUUCUUAUUUAAUCAUCCUUCUUUCUUUUAGGCAUUCUCUAUUAUGUUGUCCAUCAUAGCAUAUGCAUUUGUUCACUAAUUUCAGGUUCCCCAUACUUUUAUAGUCUUUUUAAAUGUGAAUUUAUCAUUGGAAGGGAGUUGUAUUGGACUCGCAUUUUCUUUUAACUUUAGCUUUGGUUAUAGUGAGAUUUUUGGUUCAUGUCUUUUAUUUUGGACUCUUCUUUCACCCAAGAGUAUUUUAAAGCAACUAAGGCUUCAAUUUUUAUAUGGAUUCUAUUUAAACAUGAAUCUAGCCUUGUGGCCGAGCAUUGGUGUGAAAAGAGAGUAUACACCAAAAGAGAAGGAAGCUUAGGCUGCUGCUAUUGGUUACAAGGUGGUUGGACCGGUGGAGAGGUCCGAUCGAGUUUUCAAGCCUUACGAACCUAUUUUUGCCAUUGUUAGGUUCAAUCUGGUCUCUCUUAGUUAAUAUUUUGUAAUAAAGUUUGUGGUUGGGAGCUGUUAAAUUGGGUUUAGUGAUUGAAUGUGGUUUAUGUAGAUUGGUUCGCACCAGUUCAAAGUCAGCAAUGGAGACUGCAUUUUUACUGAAAGAUUGAAAUUUUGUGACAUUAACUAGAAGGAUGCCUAAAUGAUACGCUAGCAUGGACGACAGCGGAGAAAAUAGUGGACAGCGAGAUUUUUUUGUUAAUUAGUUAUAUUUAUUUAAAGUAGAGGUUAUAUAGGAGCAUUUUAGAAGAUUUGGUUAUUCAAUAACCACUUGAAAGGUAUGGCUCAUAUGUAAUUAUUAAUUAACACUAAAAGUAGUACUUUUAAAUAUUGAUGACCCUAUUUAUUUUGUUUAUUAACCUGAUUUGUAAA
Long non-coding RNA from Cannabis sativa, 2600 nucleotides. RefSeq lists it as uncharacterized. Lineage: Eukaryota; Viridiplantae; Streptophyta; Magnoliopsida; Rosales; Cannabaceae. The transcript has 5 exons. The record is from RefSeq and is a predicted model, not a curated record.